RNAcentral lists this long non-coding RNA (994 nucleotides) under Homo sapiens (human). Its description in RNAcentral is "non-protein coding lnc-NUDT4B-1:9". The record is from RNAcentral. Lineage: Eukaryota; Metazoa; Chordata; Mammalia; Primates; Hominidae.
GGUUCUGAUUCUACUUCCUCAACAAGCUACAGCAUGGCAGUAUCUGCCACCACUUGUUUUGGUCCAAGGGCAGAAAUCAGCAUCCUGGAAACCAAUCAGUACUUGCGCUCUGAACUGGAAAAGUGCAAACAGAACUUCCAAGACCUCACAGAGAAAUUCCUGACAUCCAAAGCUACUGCCUACUCCCUGACCAAUCACCUGCAGAAAUAUAGAUACAUGAUCCCUUAAUUCAGGCUCAGGCUGAAGAACUGACCCACUUACGACAGAAGACACAGGAAGGGAGAGGUGUCUGCUACCUUUUUACCCAGCAUGUGAAGAACACAGUCAAGUCUUUUGAGGGCCUUCUCAGGAACACUGGCAUUGCCUACUACCAGAGACAGAGAUUCUGUGAGCAAAUGGUACAAGGAAGCCAGCUGACAGAGAUCCUUGUCAGAAAACUUGUCACAGAAUCUUGCUCUCUUACCCAAGCUGGAGUGCAGUGACACGGUCUUGGCUGACUGCAAUCUGUGCCUCCUGGGCUCAAGCAAUCUUCCCACCUCAGCCUCCCAAGUAGCUGGGACUACAGAAUCACCCCCAAUUCUCACCAACAAACUGAGAAGAAAAAAAAAAGAAUUACCCCCAAGAACAUCUGAGGAAGCACAACAGGGACAGACUUGAAGGCACCUGGGCAGUCCUCUGGUUUUGGAGUAGAGAAAAUCACAACGGUAAGAAAAAUGAAGACAGGCAAAAGCCACUGGCUCCUAGCAUGCACCUCUAAACUCUACAGGCACAUCAUAGAUUCCAUCGUCCAGCUGUAUAAUGAAAACAGAGUUCUCAGAGAACACCGGAGACUCCCCCGACUUGCCUGAAUCAAGUUUCUAGAGGUAAGCGGUGAAAAUCCACAAUAUGAAGUCACUCUCAGACGGGUCCCUUCUCUUGUCACACUCCACUGUAGAAACAAAAGAGGACGGGGAAGCCAGAGCUGCUCAAAACCUUAUAACCCACAAUUGUCAUA